This 254-nucleotide ribosomal RNA is filed under the name uncultured bacterium. Its description in RNAcentral is "partial 16S ribosomal RNA". It matches the Rfam family "Bacterial small subunit ribosomal RNA", at positions 524 to 776 of the family's 1533-position model. The record is from RNAcentral.
UACGUAGGGGGCAAGCGUUGUCCGGAUUUACUGGGCGUAAAGGGCGCGUAGGCGGUCGUGACAAGUCACUUGUGAAAUCUCCGGGCUUAACUCGGAACGGUCAAGUGAUACUGUCGGACUAGAGUACAGAAGGGGCAACUGGAAUUCUCGGUGUAGCGGUGAAAUGCGUAGAUAUCGAGAGGAACACCUGCGGCGAAGGCGGGUUGCUGGGCUGAUACUGACGCUGAGGCGCGAAAGCCAGGGGAGCGAACGGG